This 180-nucleotide ribosomal RNA is filed under the name Triticum aestivum (bread wheat). RNAcentral's name for it is "partial small subunit ribosomal RNA". The record is from RNAcentral. Lineage: Eukaryota; Viridiplantae; Streptophyta; Magnoliopsida; Poales; Poaceae.
UUGGAUCUUGCAGCCGUUAAUAUGUCUGGAGACCUAAGCCAAUGGAUCAUGAAACAUUACAAUCCUGAGAUGUCUCAGAUCGUCAUACCAAAAAGAGGGAAGAUCCGAGUAGAUGUUGCAAGCAUCCGGAGGAUAUGGGGUUUGCCAAAAAGAGGGAGAAAGGUGUGCUUUCAAAAUUGA